This 205-nucleotide unclassified non-coding RNA is filed under the name Cymbalaria muelleri. RNAcentral describes it as "partial external transcribed spacer". Lineage: Eukaryota; Viridiplantae; Streptophyta; Magnoliopsida; Lamiales; Plantaginaceae. The record is from RNAcentral.
UGCGUGCAUGAAGGGAAUUUGGCCCAUGUCGGCUCGCUCGAUCUCUCGGUUGCGGUGCAUAAUUCGGGUAUGAGGCCCCCGAGCCUCUAUUCUGCCCAUACAACAAGCGUUCUACGCUUCAUGCGAACGACACUCGUCACCGUUUUGGUCGGGUCCUCGUGGCUCGAUUCAUGCGGUGCGGCGUCGAUGAAGGAAUGCUACCUGG